AGAUCUCGGCGCGCCCCUGAGGAGUUUCUGUGGGAAGAUUUUCUGUUUUCCAGGUUUCCCAAGGGAAACGAAGAAAGGGAGGAGGAUAAUCAAUGACUGAACCUCUAAUAGAUGUUGGACGACGUUAAAAAAAAAAUGUAUCGGCCCUACCCUCGAGGAUUUGACAAAUUAGACUGACCAGAGUAAUAAGAGAUACAGGCAGAAGAGGAGACAUAGACACACACAGAGGAGAAGAUGAUGUGAAAAGGGAGGCAGAGAUCACAGUGGUGUGGCUACAAGCCAAGAAAUACCGAAGCCAUCAGAAGUUGGAAGAGGUACUGACAUUGGGAUUAAUCAAGGAAACAACUUGACGCACAGAGAAUGAAGAAAAGCAAGACAGGACAACAACCCACCUGGGAGCAACAGGGAGCCAGGGGAUCCUCCCCCACUGAGGGAAGCAGUAAGUG
Molecule: long non-coding RNA, 446 nt
Filed under: Homo sapiens (human)
Lineage: Eukaryota; Metazoa; Chordata; Mammalia; Primates; Hominidae
Description: non-protein coding lnc-POF1B-3:5
Source: RNAcentral